Molecule: ribosomal RNA, 560 nt
Filed under: Clostridium botulinum C
Lineage: Bacteria; Bacillati; Bacillota; Clostridia; Eubacteriales; Clostridiaceae
Description: bacterial SSU rRNA
Rfam family: Bacterial small subunit ribosomal RNA
Source: RNAcentral
GACUUGACAUCUCCUGAAUUACUCUUAAUCGAGGAAGUCCCUUCGGGGACAGGAAGACAGGUGGUGCAUGGUUGUCGUCAGCUCGUGUCGUGAGAUGUUGGGUUAAGUCCCGCAACGAGCGCAACCCUUAUUGUUAGUUGCUACUAUUAAGUUAAGCACUCUAACGAGACUGCCGCGGUUAACGUGGAGGAAGGUGGGGAUGACGUCAAAUCAUCAUGCCCCUUAUGUCUAGGGCUACACACGUGCUACAAUGGCUGGUACAACGAGCAGCAAACCCGCGAGGGGGAGCAAAACUUGAAAGCCAGUCCCAGUUCGGAUUGUAGGCUGAAACUCGCCUACAUGAAGUUGGAGUUGCUAGUAAUCGCGAAUCAGCAUGUCGCGGUGAAUACGUUCCCGGGUCUUGUACACACCGCCCGUCACACCAUGAGAGCCGGUAACACCCGAAGCCCGUGAGGUAACCGUAAGGAGCCAGCGGGCGAAGGUGGGAUUGGUGAUUGGGGUGAAGUCGUAACAAGGUAGCCGUAGGAGAACCUGCGGCUGGAUCACCUCCUUUCUAGGGA